This 2903-nucleotide ribosomal RNA is filed under the name Escherichia coli. RNAcentral describes it as "23S ribosomal RNA". It matches the Rfam family "Bacterial large subunit ribosomal RNA". Lineage: Bacteria; Pseudomonadati; Pseudomonadota; Gammaproteobacteria; Enterobacterales; Enterobacteriaceae. The record is from RNAcentral.
GGUUAAGCGACUAAGCGUACACGGUGGAUGCCCUGGCAGUCAGAGGCGAUGAAGGACGUGCUAAUCUGCGAUAAGCGUCGGUAAGGUGAUAUGAACCGUUAUAACCGGCGAUUUCCGAAUGGGGAAACCCAGUGUGUUUCGACACACUAUCAUUAACUGAAUCCAUAGGUUAAUGAGGCGAACCGGGGGAACUGAAACAUCUAAGUACCCCGAGGAAAAGAAAUCAACCGAGAUUCCCCCAGUAGCGGCGAGCGAACGGGGAGCAGCCCAGAGCCUGAAUCAGUGUGUGUGUUAGUGGAAGCGUCUGGAAAGGCGCGCGAUACAGGGUGACAGCCCCGUACACAAAAAUGCACAUGCUGUGAGCUCGAUGAGUAGGGCGGGACACGUGGUAUCCUGUCUGAAUAUGGGGGGACCAUCCUCCAAGGCUAAAUACUCCUGACUGACCGAUAGUGAACCAGUACCGUGAGGGAAAGGCGAAAAGAACCCCGGCGAGGGGAGUGAAAAAGAACCUGAAACCGUGUACGUACAAGCAGUGGGAGCACGCUUAGGCGUGUGACUGCGUACCUUUUGUAUAAUGGGUCAGCGACUUAUAUUCUGUAGCAAGGUUAACCGAAUAGGGGAGCCGAAGGGAAACCGAGUCUUAACUGGGCGUUAAGUUGCAGGGUAUAGACCCGAAACCCGGUGAUCUAGCCAUGGGCAGGUUGAAGGUUGGGUAACACUAACUGGAGGACCGAACCGACUAAUGUUGAAAAAUUAGCGGAUGACUUGUGGCUGGGGGUGAAAGGCCAAUCAAACCGGGAGAUAGCUGGUUCUCCCCGAAAGCUAUUUAGGUAGCGCCUCGUGAAUUCAUCUCCGGGGGUAGAGCACUGUUUCGGCAAGGGGGUCAUCCCGACUUACCAACCCGAUGCAAACUGCGAAUACCGGAGAAUGUUAUCACGGGAGACACACGGCGGGUGCUAACGUCCGUCGUGAAGAGGGAAACAACCCAGACCGCCAGCUAAGGUCCCAAAGUCAUGGUUAAGUGGGAAACGAUGUGGGAAGGCCCAGACAGCCAGGAUGUUGGCUUAGAAGCAGCCAUCAUUUAAAGAAAGCGUAAUAGCUCACUGGUCGAGUCGGCCUGCGCGGAAGAUGUAACGGGGCUAAACCAUGCACCGAAGCUGCGGCAGCGACACUAUGUGUUGUUGGGUAGGGGAGCGUUCUGUAAGCCUGUGAAGGUGUGCUGUGAGGCAUGCUGGAGGUAUCAGAAGUGCGAAUGCUGACAUAAGUAACGAUAAAGCGGGUGAAAAGCCCGCUCGCCGGAAGACCAAGGGUUCCUGUCCAACGUUAAUCGGGGCAGGGUGAGUCGACCCCUAAGGCGAGGCCGAAAGGCGUAGUCGAUGGGAAACAGGUUAAUAUUCCUGUACUUGGUGUUACUGCGAAGGGGGGACGGAGAAGGCUAUGUUGGCCGGGCGACGGUUGUCCCGGUUUAAGCGUGUAGGCUGGUUUUCCAGGCAAAUCCGGAAAAUCAAGGCUGAGGCGUGAUGACGAGGCACUACGGUGCUGAAGCAACAAAUGCCCUGCUUCCAGGAAAAGCCUCUAAGCAUCAGGUAACAUCAAAUCGUACCCCAAACCGACACAGGUGGUCAGGUAGAGAAUACCAAGGCGCUUGAGAGAACUCGGGUGAAGGAACUAGGCAAAAUGGUGCCGUAACUUCGGGAGAAGGCACGCUGAUAUGUAGGUGAAGUCCCUCGCGGAUGGAGCUGAAAUCAGUCGAAGAUACCAGCUGGCUGCAACUGUUUAUUAAAAACACAGCACUGUGCAAACACGAAAGUGGACGUAUACGGUGUGACGCCUGCCCGGUGCCGGAAGGUUAAUUGAUGGGGUUAGCGCAAGCGAAGCUCUUGAUCGAAGCCCCGGUAAACGGCGGCCGUAACUAUAACGGUCCUAAGGUAGCGAAAUUCCUUGUCGGGUAAGUUCCGACCUGCACGAAUGGCGUAAUGAUGGCCAGGCUGUCUCCACCCGAGACUCAGUGAAAUUGAACUCGCUGUGAAGAUGCAGUGUACCCGCGGCAAGACGGAAAGACCCCGUGAACCUUUACUAUAGCUUGACACUGAACAUUGAGCCUUGAUGUGUAGGAUAGGUGGGAGGCUUUGAAGUGUGGACGCCAGUCUGCAUGGAGCCGACCUUGAAAUACCACCCUUUAAUGUUUGAUGUUCUAACGUGGACCCGUGAUCCGGGUUGCGGACAGUGUCUGGUGGGUAGUUUGACUGGGGCGGUCUCCUCCUAAAGAGUAACGGAGGAGCACGAAGGUUGGCUAAUCCUGGUCGGACAUCAGGAGGUUAGUGCAAUGGCAUAAGCCAGCUUGACUGCGAGCGUGACGGCGCGAGCAGGUGCGAAAGCAGGUCAUAGUGAUCCGGUGGUUCUGAAUGGAAGGGCCAUCGCUCAACGGAUAAAAGGUACUCCGGGGAUAACAGGCUGAUACCGCCCAAGAGUUCAUAUCGACGGCGGUGUUUGGCACCUCGAUGUCGGCUCAUCACAUCCUGGGGCUGAAGUAGGUCCCAAGGGUAUGGCUGUUCGCCAUUUAAAGUGGUACGCGAGCUGGGUUUAGAACGUCGUGAGACAGUUCGGUCCCUAUCUGCCGUGGGCGCUGGAGAACUGAGGGGGGCUGCUCCUAGUACGAGAGGACCGGAGUGGACGCAUCACUGGUGUUCGGGUUGUCAUGCCAAUGGCACUGCCCGGUAGCUAAAUGCGGAAGAGAUAAGUGCUGAAAGCAUCUAAGCACGAAACUUGCCCCGAGAUGAGUUCUCCCUGACUCCUUGAGAGUCCUGAAGGAACGUUGAAGACGACGACGUUGAUAGGCCGGGUGUGUAAGCGCAGCGAUGCGUUGAGCUAACCGGUACUAAUGAACCGUGAGGCUUAACCUU